CGGACGGGUGAGUAACGCGUGGGCAACCUGCCUCGCACUGGGGGAUAACACUUAGAAAUAGGUGCUAACACCGCAUAGCGGGCGGGGGCGCAUGCCCCUGCCCUGAAAACCCAGGUGGUGCGAGAUGGGCCCGCGUCUGAUUAGCUGGUUGGCAGGGUAACGGCCUACCAAGGCGAUGAUCAGUAGCCGGCCUGAGAGGGUGGACGGCCACAUUGGGACUGAGACACGGCCCAGACUCCUACGGGAGGCAGCAG
This 254-nucleotide ribosomal RNA is filed under the name uncultured bacterium. RNAcentral describes it as "partial 16S ribosomal RNA". It matches the Rfam family "Bacterial small subunit ribosomal RNA", at positions 99 to 354 of the family's 1533-position model. The record is from RNAcentral.